UAUGGCCUUAGUGAGUCUCCACUCGUGCCGUGAGGUGUUGGGUUAAGUCCCGCAACGAGCGCAACCCCUAUGUUUAGUUGCCAGCAUGUAAUGAUGGGGACUCUAAACAGACUGCCAGCGUAAGCUGUGAGGAAGGUGGGGAAGACGUCAAGUCAUCAUGGCCCUUACGUCCGGGGCUACACCCGUGGUACAAUGGACGGUACAGCGGGCAGCUACAUAGCAAUAUGAUGCUAAUCUCUAAAAGCCGUUCACUGUUCGUAUUGAAGUCUGCUACUCGACCUCAUGAAGUUGGAUUCGCUAGUAAUCGAGUGUCAGCAAUGACGCGGUGCAUACGUUCCCGCGCCUUGUACACACCGCCCGUCGAGCCAUGAAAGUUGGGGGUACCUAAAGCACGUAACCGCAAGGCAGCGACUCAA
This 416-nucleotide ribosomal RNA is filed under the name bacterium 14S311. RNAcentral's name for it is "bacterial SSU rRNA". It matches the Rfam family "Bacterial small subunit ribosomal RNA", at positions 1044 to 1460 of the family's 1533-position model. The record is from RNAcentral.